RNAcentral lists this ribosomal RNA (446 nucleotides) under uncultured bacterium. RNAcentral describes it as "partial 16S ribosomal RNA". It matches the Rfam family "Bacterial small subunit ribosomal RNA", at positions 338 to 795 of the family's 1533-position model. The record is from RNAcentral.
CCUACGGGUGGCAGCAGUCGAGAAUCAUUCACAAUGGGGGAAACCCUGAUGGUGCGACGCCGCGUGGGGGAAUGAAGGUCUUCGGAUUGUAAACCCCUGUCAUGUGGGAGCAAAUUAAAAAGAUAGUACCACAAGAGGAAGAGACGGCUAACUCUGUGCCAGCAGCCGCGGUAAUACAGAGGUCUCAAGCGUUGUUCGGAAUCACUGGGCGUAAAGCGUGCGUAGGCUGUUUCGUAAGUCGUGUGUGAAAGGUGCGGGCUGAACCCGCGGACGGCACAUGAUACUGCGAGACUAGAGUAAUGGAGGGGGAACCGGAAUUCUCGGUGUAGCAGUGAAAUGCGUAGAUAUCGAGAGGAACACUCGUGGCGAAGGCGGGUUCCUGGACAUUAACUGACGCUGAGGCACGAAGGCCAGGGGAGCGAAAGGGAUUAGAUACCCCGGUAGUC